This 254-nucleotide ribosomal RNA is filed under the name uncultured bacterium. Its description in RNAcentral is "partial 16S ribosomal RNA". It matches the Rfam family "Bacterial small subunit ribosomal RNA", at positions 524 to 776 of the family's 1533-position model. The record is from RNAcentral.
UACGUAGGGGGCGAGCGUUGUCCGCAGUUACUGGGCGUAAAGCGCGUGUAGGCGGUCUUUUAAGCCUGGGGUGAAAGGUUCAGCGCUCAACGCGAACAGUGCCUUGGAUACUGGGGGACUUGAGUCCGGGAGGGGGCAGUGGAAUUCCUGGUGUAGCGGUGAAAUGCGUAGAUAUCAGGAGGAACACCAAUGGCGAAGGCAGCUCGCUGGAACGGUACUGACGCUGAGGCACGAAGGUCAGGGGAGCAAACGGG